UUUCUAGGGAGCAGAUUCCUAGCUUGUGUUAUAACUUAACUCUCCCUGUGACCGAGAUGUUAGGCCCCCGCCCCCAUAAAUGGGUUGUGUGUGGCACCUUUAUUAGGAAAAUGUGUGAAGCAUUCUGAUUUCUCUGGCCAGAUUAAACCAAAAGGGAAAUACCAUUCCAUGCCGGAUGUUGACCAAAAGUGGUAAAUCUCAGCUGAGUCAACAGUUGUCAGGGACCUGGGAGGGGUGCUGGGGUGUGUGCAUGCGUGUACUCGUGCCACGGAACAGCCGCAAGCCAGUGCUGGGCUCAAUCCCGUGACGCACAAGGUCACCUGGGACCCAGGUUCCCUUGGAGAAGUGGCACUCAGCCCCAGGAACACGGGACACGGGUUCGAGCCCUGGUCUGGGAAGAUCCCACGUGCCGCGGAGCAACUAGGCCCAUGCGCCAUAACUAGUGAGCCUGCGUGUCUGGAACCUGUGCUCCGCAACAAGAGAGGCCGCGAUAGUGAGAGACCCGCGCACCGCGAUGAAGAGUGGCCCCCGCUUGCCGCAACUAGAGAAAGCCCUCGCACAGAAACGAAGACCCAACACAGCCAAAAUAAAUAAACAAAUAAAUAAUUAAAAAAAA
Balaenoptera ricei (Rice's whale) is the source of this 616-nucleotide long non-coding RNA. RefSeq lists it as uncharacterized. Lineage: Eukaryota; Metazoa; Chordata; Mammalia; Artiodactyla; Balaenopteridae. The transcript has 2 exons. The record is from RefSeq and is a predicted model, not a curated record.